Molecule: ribosomal RNA, 1494 nt
Filed under: Salmonella enterica
Lineage: Bacteria; Pseudomonadati; Pseudomonadota; Gammaproteobacteria; Enterobacterales; Enterobacteriaceae
Description: partial 23S ribosomal RNA
Rfam family: Bacterial large subunit ribosomal RNA
Source: RNAcentral
CGGAGGGAAACCGAGUCUUAACCGGGCGUUAAGUUGCAGGGUAUAGACCCGAAACCCGGUGAUCUAGCCAUGGGCAGGUUGAAGGUUGGGUAACACUAACUGGAGGACCGAACCGACUAAUGUUGAAAAAUUAGCGGAUGACCUGUGGCUGGGGGUGAAAGGCCAAUCAAACCGGGAGAUAGCUGGUUCUCCCCGAAAGCUAUUUAGGUAGCGCCUCGUGAAUUCAUCUCCGGGGGUAGAGCACUGUUUCGGCUAGGGGGCCAUCCCGGCUUACCAACCCGAUGCAAACUGCGAAUACCGGAGAAUGUUAUCACGGGAGACACACGGCGGGUGCUAACGUCCGUCGUGAAGAGGGAAACAACCCAGACCGCCAGCUAAGGUCCCAAAGUCAUGGUUAAGUGGGAAACGAUGUGGGAAGGCCCAGACAGCCAGGAUGUUGGCUUAGAAGCAGCCAUCAUUUAAAGAAAGCGUAAUAGCUCACUGGUCGAGUCGGCCUGCGCGGAAGAUGUAACGGGGCUAAACCAUGCACCGAAGCUGCGGCAGCGACGCUUAUGCGUUGUUGGGUAGGGGAGCGUUCUGUAAGCCUGUGAAGGUGUGUCGUGAGGCAUGCUGGAGGUAUCAGAAGUGCGAAUGCUGACAUAAGUAACGAUAAAGCGGGUGAAAAGCCCGCUCGCCGGAAGACCAAGGGUUCCUGUCCAACGUUAAUCGGGGCAGGGUGAGUCGACCCCUAAGGCGAGGCCGAAAGGCGUAGUCGAUGGGAAACGGGUUAAUAUUCCCGUACUUGGUGUUACUGCGAAGGGGGGACGGAGAAGGCUAUGUUGGCCGGGCGACGGUUGUCCCGGUUUAAGCGUGUAGGUGUGUGUUCCAGGUAAAUCCGGUUCACUUUAACACUGAGGCGUGAUGACGAGGCACUACGGUGCUGAAGUAACAAAUGCCCUGCUUCCAGGAAAAGCCUCUAAGCAUCAGGUAACAUCAAAUCGUACCCCAAACCGACACAGGUGGUCAGGUAGAGAAUACCAAGGCGCUUGAGAGAACUCGGGUGAAGGAACUAGGCAAAAUGGUGCCGUAACUUCGGGAGAAGGCACGCUGACACGUAGGUGAAGUGAUUUACUCAUGGAGCUGAAGUCAGUCGAAGAUACCAGCUGGCUGCAACUGUUUAUUAAAAACACAGCACUGUGCAAACACGAAAGUGGACGUAUACGGUGUGACGCCUGCCCGGUGCCGGAAGGUUAAUUGAUGGGGUCAGCGCAAGCGAAGCUCCUGAUCGAAGCCCCGGUAAACGGCGGCCGUAACUAUAACGGUCCUAAGGUAGCGAAAUUCCUUGUCGGGUAAGUUCCGACCUGCACGAAUGGCGUAAUGAUGGCCAGGCUGUCUCCACCCGAGACUCAGUGAAAUUGAACUCGCUGUGAAGAUGCAGUGUACCCGCGGCAAGACGGAAAGACCCCGUGAACCUUUACUAUAGCUUGACACUGAACAUUGAGCCUUGAUGUGUAG